RNAcentral lists this ribosomal RNA (475 nucleotides) under uncultured soil bacterium. RNAcentral's name for it is "bacterial SSU rRNA". It matches the Rfam family "Bacterial small subunit ribosomal RNA", at positions 26 to 518 of the family's 1533-position model. The record is from RNAcentral.
AGAACAAACGCUGGCGGCGUGCCUAAUACAUGCAAGUCGAACGAGGAAAGCUUUCGGGUGAGUACUAGUGGCGCACGGGUGAGGAAUAUAUGGGUAAUCUGCCCUCGAGUUUGGGAUAACCAGUCGAAAGAUUGGCUAAUACCGGAUAAGACCACAGGAUCUGCGGAUCUAGGGGUUAAAGGUUUUUCGCUUGAGGAUGAGCCCAUAUGGGAUUAGCUAGUUGGUAAGGUAAUGGCUUACCAAGGCUACGAUCCCUAACUGGUCUUAGAGGAUGAUCAGCCACACUGGAACUGAGACACGGUCCAGACUCCUACGGGAGGCAGCAGUAGGGAAUAUUGCACAAUGGGGGAAACCCUGAUGCAGCGACGCCGCGUGAGUGAUGAAGGCCUUCGGGUCGUAAAGCUCUGUCGUAUGGAACUAACAAAAUGAAGGUACCAUGCAAGAAAGGAUCGGCUAACUUCGUGCUAGCAGCCGC